CCCGGGCCUUGUACACACCGCCCGUCACACCAUGGGAGCUGACUCAACCAGAAAACGGUCAGGCUAACCGCAAGGGGGCCUCCGUUGAAGGUGGGGUUGGUGACUGGGGUG
RNAcentral lists this ribosomal RNA (111 nucleotides) under uncultured bacterium. RNAcentral's name for it is "partial 16S ribosomal RNA". It matches the Rfam family "Bacterial small subunit ribosomal RNA", at positions 1373 to 1482 of the family's 1533-position model. The record is from RNAcentral.